UGGGGAAUCUUAGACAAUGGGCGAAAGCCUGAUCUAGCGAUGCCGCGUGAGUGAUGAAGGCCUUAGGGUCGUAAAGCUCUUUCGCCAGGGAUGAUAAUGACAGUACCUGGUAAAGAAACCCCGGCUAACUCCGUGCCAGCAGCCGCGGUAAUACGGAGGGGGUUAGCGUUGUUCGGAAUUACUGGGCGUAAAGCGCACGUAGGCGGACUAAUAAGUCAGAGGUGAAAUCCCAGGGCUCAACCCUGGAACUGCCUUUGAUACUGUUAGUCUUGAGUUCGAGAGAGGUGAGUGGAAUUCCGAGUGUAGAGGUGAAAUUCGUAGAUAUUCGGAGGAACACCAGUGGCGAAGGCGGCUCACUGGCUCGAUACUGACGCUGAGGUGCGAAAGUGUGGGGAGCAAACAGGAUUAGAUACCCUGGUAGUCCACACCGUAAACGAUGAAUGCCAGUCGUCGGGUUGCAUGCAAUUCGGUGACACACCUAACGGAUUAAGCAUUCCGCCUGGGGAGUACGGUCGCAAGAUUAAAACUCAAAGUAGAUUGAC
This 542-nucleotide ribosomal RNA is filed under the name uncultured Paracoccaceae bacterium. RNAcentral describes it as "bacterial SSU rRNA". It matches the Rfam family "Bacterial small subunit ribosomal RNA", at positions 355 to 914 of the family's 1533-position model. Lineage: Bacteria; Pseudomonadati; Pseudomonadota; Alphaproteobacteria; Rhodobacterales; Paracoccaceae. The record is from RNAcentral.